This 721-nucleotide ribosomal RNA is filed under the name uncultured Fusobacterium sp. RNAcentral's name for it is "bacterial SSU rRNA". It matches the Rfam family "Bacterial small subunit ribosomal RNA", at positions 28 to 763 of the family's 1533-position model. The record is from RNAcentral. Lineage: Bacteria; Fusobacteriati; Fusobacteriota; Fusobacteriia; Fusobacteriales; Fusobacteriaceae.
GAUGAACGCUGACAGAAUGCUUAACACAUGCAAGUCAACUUGAAUUUGGGUUUUUAACUUAGAUUUGGGUGGCGGACGGGUGAGUAACGCGUAAAGAACUUGCCUCACAGCUAGGGACAACAUUUAGAAAUGAAUGCUAAUACCUGAUAUUAUGAUUUUAAGGCAUCUUAGAAUUAUGAAAGCUAUAUGCGCUGUGAGAGAGCUUUGCGUCCCAUUAGCUAGUUGGAGAGGUAACAGCUCACCAAGGCGAUGAUGGGUAGCCGGUCUGAGAGGGUGAACGGCCACAAGGGGACUGAGACACGGCCCUUACUCCUACGGGAGGCAGCAGUGGGGAAUAUUGGACAAUGGACCGAGAGUCUGAUCCAGCAAUUCUGUGUGCACGAUGAAGUUUUUCGGAAUGUAAAGUGCUUUCAGUUGGGAAGAAAAAAUGACGGUACCAACAGAAGAAGUGACGGCUAAAUACGUGCCAGCAGCCGCGGUAAUACGUAUGUCACGAGCGUUAUCCGGAUUUAUUGGGCGUAAAGCGCGUCUAGGUGGUUAUGUAAGUCUGAUGUGAAAAUGCAGGGCUCAACUCUGUAUUGCGUUGGAAACUGUAUAACUAGAGUACUGGAGAGGUAAGCGGAACUACAAGUGUAGAGGUGAAAUUCGUAGAUAUUUGUAGGAAUGCCGAUGGGGAAGCCAGCUUACUGGACAGAUACUGACGCUAAAGCGCGAAAGCGUG